RNAcentral lists this ribosomal RNA (437 nucleotides) under uncultured bacterium. RNAcentral's name for it is "bacterial SSU rRNA". It matches the Rfam family "Bacterial small subunit ribosomal RNA", at positions 8 to 432 of the family's 1533-position model. The record is from RNAcentral.
AGAGUUUGAUCCUGGCUCAGAAUCAACGCUGGCGGCGUGCCUAACACAUGCAAGUCGAACGCGAAAGUCCCGCAAGGGAUGAGUAGAGUGGCAAACGGGUGAGUAACACGUGGGUGACCUGCCUUCGAGCGGGGGAUAACGUCCCGAAAGGGACGCUAAUACCGCAUGACAUCCUGCCUUUGAAGAGGUGGAGAUCAAAGCUGGGGAUCGCAAGACCUAGCACUCGAAGAGGGGCCCGCGCCUGAUUAGCUAGUUGGUGGGGUAACGGCUCACCAAGGCAACGAUCAGUAUCCGGCCUGAGAGGGCGGACGGACACACUGGGACUGAGACACGGCCCAGACUCCUACGGGAGGCAGCAGUGGGGAAUUGUUCGCAAUGGGCGCAAGCCUGACGACGCAACGCCGCGUGGAGGAUGAAGACCUUCGGGUCGUAAACUC